Molecule: unclassified non-coding RNA, 230 nt
Filed under: Vibrio aestuarianus
Lineage: Bacteria; Pseudomonadati; Pseudomonadota; Gammaproteobacteria; Vibrionales; Vibrionaceae
Source: RNAcentral
UAUGGGUAUCUUCAUUCUGUUCUAAGUGUAAUUGCUUGUUAAUAAAGACUUUUGUCCUCACUUGUCUAGUUUUUUUACGUUUUAUUUCCCAACUGUAUGGUUAUGACGCGCAGCGGUAAGAGAGAACGAAAGCUCAAAUGACACUGCAUAAGCGAUGUGGGAAGUCGAGUGACUAGGUGGCGAUGCCGAGCUCUUAAGUCCGAAUACCUGCCAGCAACCGAAUUGUUAAU